RNAcentral lists this ribosomal RNA (545 nucleotides) under Salmonella enterica. RNAcentral describes it as "partial 23S ribosomal RNA". It matches the Rfam family "Bacterial large subunit ribosomal RNA", at positions 644 to 1190 of the family's 2925-position model. The record is from RNAcentral. Lineage: Bacteria; Pseudomonadati; Pseudomonadota; Gammaproteobacteria; Enterobacterales; Enterobacteriaceae.
GGUUAACCGUAUAGGGGAGCCGGAGGGAAACCGAGUCUUAACCGGGCGUUAAGUUGCAGGGUAUAGACCCGAAACCCGGUGAUCUAGCCAUGGGCAGGUUGAAGGUUGGGUAACACUAACUGGAGGACCGAACCGACUAAUGUUGAAAAAUUAGCGGAUGACCUGUGGCUGGGGGUGAAAGGCCAAUCAAACCGGGAGAUAGCUGGUUCUCCCCGAAAGCUAUUUAGGUAGCGCCUCGUGAAUUCAUCUCCGGGGGUAGAGCACUGUUUCGGCUAGGGGGCCAUCCCGGCUUACCAACCCGAUGCAAACUGCGAAUACCGGAGAAUGUUAUCACGGGAGACACACGGCGGGUGCUAACGUCCGUCGUGAAGAGGGAAACAACCCAGACCGCCAGCUAAGGUCCCAAAGUCAUGGUUAAGUGGGAAACGAUGUGGGAAGGCCCAGACAGCCAGGAUGUUGGCUUAGAAGCAGCCAUCAUUUAAAGAAAGCGUAAUAGCUCACUGGUCGAGUCGGCCUGCGCGGAAGAUGUAACGGGGCUAAACCAU